RNAcentral lists this ribosomal RNA (1105 nucleotides) under Escherichia coli. RNAcentral's name for it is "partial 23S ribosomal RNA". It matches the Rfam family "Bacterial large subunit ribosomal RNA", at positions 420 to 1529 of the family's 2925-position model. The record is from RNAcentral. Lineage: Bacteria; Pseudomonadati; Pseudomonadota; Gammaproteobacteria; Enterobacterales; Enterobacteriaceae.
GGACACGUGGUAUCCUGUCUGAAUAUGGGGGGACCAUCCUCCAAGGCUAAAUACUCCUGACUGACCGAUAGUGAACCAGUACCGUGAGGGAAAGGCGAAAAGAACCCCGGCGAGGGGAGUGAAAAAGAACCUGAAACCGUGUACGUACAAGCAGUGGGAGCACGCUUAGGCGUGUGACUGCGUACCUUUUGUAUAAUGGGUCAGCGACUUAUAUUCUGUAGCAAGGUUAACCGAAUAGGGGAGCCGAAGGGAAACCGAGUCUUAACUGGGCGUUAAGUUGCAGGGUAUAGACCCGAAACCCGGUGAUCUAGCCAUGGGCAGGUUGAAGGUUGGGUAACACUAACUGGAGGACCGAACCGACUAAUGUUGAAAAAUUAGCGGAUGACUUGUGGCUGGGGGUGAAAGGCCAAUCAAACCGGGAGAUAGCUGGUUCUCCCCGAAAGCUAUUUAGGUAGCGCCUCGUGAAUUCAUCUCCGGGGGUAGAGCACUGUUUCGGCAAGGGGGUCAUCCCGACUUACCAACCCGAUGCAAACUGCGAAUACCGGAGAAUGUUAUCACGGGAGACACACGGCGGGUGCUAACGUCCGUCGUGAAGAGGGAAACAACCCAGACCGCCAGCUAAGGUCCCAAAGUCAUGGUUAAGUGGGAAACGAUGUGGGAAGGCCCAGACAGCCAGGAUGUUGGCUUAGAAGCAGCCAUCAUUUAAAGAAAGCGUAAUAGCUCACUGGUCGAGUCGGCCUGCGCGGAAGAUGUAACGGGGCUAAACCAUGCACCGAAGCUGCGGCAGCGACGCUUAUGCGUUGUUGGGUAGGGGAGCGUUCUGUAAGCCUGCGAAGGUGUGCUGUGAGGCAUGCUGGAGGUAUCAGAAGUGCGAAUGCUGACAUAAGUAACGAUAAAGCGGGUGAAAAGCCCGCUCGCCGGAAGACCAAGGGUUCCUGUCCAACGUUAAUCGGGGCAGGGUGAGUCGACCCCUAAGGCGAGGCCGAAAGGCGUAGUCGAUGGGAAACAGGUUAAUAUUCCUGUACUUGGUGUUACUGCGAAGGGGGGACGGAGAAGGCUAUGUUGGCCGGGCGACGGUUGUCCCGGUUUAAGCGUGUAGGCUGGU